AGUCGAACGAACUUAAUACAUUCUUUUAGAUUGUAAGCGGUUAGUGGCGGACUGGUGAGUAACGCGUGAGUAACCUGCCUAUUAGAGGGGAAUAACAGUGAGAAAUCAUUGCUAAUACCGCAUAUGCUCACAGUAUCGCAUGAUACAGUGAGGAAAGGAGCAAUCCACUAAUAGAUGGACUCGCGUCUGAUUAGCUAGUUGGUGAGGUAGAGGCUUACCAAGGCGACGAUCAGUAGCCGGACUGAGAGGUUGAACGGCCACAUUGGGACUGAGAUACGGCCCAGACUCCUACGGGAGGCAGCAGUCGGGAAUAUUGCGCAAUGGAGGAAACUCUGACGCAGUGACGCCGCGUAUAGGAAGAAGGUUUUCGGAUUGUAAACUAUUGUCGUUAGGGAAGAAAAAAGACAGUACCUAAGGAGGAAGCCCCGGCUAACUAUGUGCCAGCAGCCGCGGUAAUACAUAGGGGGCAAGCGUUAUCCGGAAUUAUUGGGUGUAAAGGGUGCGUAGACGGGUGUCUAAGUUGGUUGUGAAAUCCCUCGGCUCAACUGAGGAACUGCAACCAAAACUGGAUAUCUUGAGUGUCGGAGAGGAAAGUGGAAUUCCUAGUGUAGCGGUGAAAUGCGUAGAUAUUAGGAGGAACACCAGUGGCGAAGGCGACUUUCUGGACGAUAACUGACGUUGAGGCACGAAAGUGUGGGGAGCAAACAGGAUUAGAUACCCUGGUAGUCCACACUGUAAACGAUGGAU
Molecule: ribosomal RNA, 747 nt
Filed under: uncultured bacterium
Lineage: Bacteria
Description: bacterial SSU rRNA
Rfam family: Bacterial small subunit ribosomal RNA
Source: RNAcentral